CCAAAUUAACCCUAAUUUUCUGUGUCAAAAAGAGACAAGUACAACACAUUUUCUUCACCCCUCUACGAUUUACAAUGGCUUUCUUUAAUACGAGUGAAGGUGCUCAUUUUUUGCUCGUUGUUUAGAGCUUGCACUGCACUCGGAGAUAAUAGAGAAGAUAAAGAGUUGCCUACUUUCUGGGACAUUUUCAGUAGAAAUUCACAAGUGCUAUAAUAAAACUUUAAGCUUUUCAACUGUUCUUCAUUUUAACGAACUCAUCAGCCAAUGAAAAAUUAAGCACAGAAAUGGAGUCGACCUUGAAGGUUACUUUCCACUCUUAAAUUUCUACAUUUUUAAUUUCUCUACUUUUUUUUUUUUCUCUAAGGUUUUUAACUAUUUUAUUAUUUUUAGUACAGAAAUGUUUUGAGUUUUCUCCUUCCUCUGGCGAUGAUCCCUCUGAUGAUGAUGCCAAAUAGGAAACGUGUCACAUGAGGAGCUCAAACGGGUUUGACAAAAACUCACACAAUUUUUUUUUUUUGUGCUUUUAAAAUUUUGGAUAAACAUGUUAGGGAUUAAACUUCAAGUUUUAGAAAAGCUUUCUCAAGUAAAAAUUAGAUAUACAACAACGCUGUGGCCCAUAAUUUUCUUUUUUAGUUUGAUUUUUGGAAGCCAUUUUUAGUUUUUUAUAUGGAGUUCAAUUCAGGUAUGUUGAUUUGUUAUGGUGUUCUGAAUCUUGAUUGAGUGAACUGGAUUUUCUAUUUUCUCGAUUUUCUUUAAGUCAUUUGAUUGGUGUCGAUUAAUUUGUGAGCUAGAUUCUUUAUAGGAUUUUACUCCUUGCACAGGGCCCUGUGCACAGGGCCUGAGAACUGGAUUUUCUAUUUUCUCGAUUUUCUUUAAGUCAUUUGAUUGGUGUCGAUUAAUUUGUGUGCUAGAUUCUUUAUAGGAUUCUUUAUUGGUUUGAUUUUCAAUUAUUGGGAUUUUUCGGGUUUUGGGUUUUAGCUCCCGAAAAUGAAAAUGAAGGGAGUAGUAUUUUUUAGAAAAAUGAGUAGUUGAAAAAAGGGAAAAUUUUUCGAUUUAUGUGUAAUAUUAUAUUGUGGAAGAUUACGUGGUUGAAAAUAGGAGAGAAAAAUGGAAUUUAAUGUAAUUGAAUUUAAUGGGAAUCAAAUAGUUCCAUGACCAUCUCUUUCAAUUAACUUUUACGGGCUUCUUUAUAUUUUUAUUAUGCAUAAUUUUUUCUUUUGAAAUUGAUUUUUUCUGUUUUCAAAUUUAUUUGUUCUUUUUCUAAAUUUAGAUUGUUAUUCAUGAAUUUUUGUGGCAUUCCCUUACAAUUCAAGGUUUCCCAAUUUCAAAAACUAUGAUGUGACUUGAACGACUAUUACUUUUAUUGCUUAUGAAUUGUGCUUAAUCUCAUUCUAUUAUCAUCAUAAAUUUAUUCCUUUUUUAUUGUUUUGUGAUUUUCCAUGAACAUUCCACUUUUUCUAAGUAUGCUAAAUUCAUCAUGAUUUGUUCAUGUUAAAUUUAUGGAUCUUGUUGUAUCUGUUUCUUAUGUCUUUUGGCAGAGAAAACGUGGGAAUAUAGUUUUGAUGAUGAAAUAGAAUUGAGUUACUAUUACAAUAUUAUUAAACUAUUGCUUUAAGAACUGUCUUUUAACAAUGAGAGGGAAUUUUGGCCUUCUCCUAUUCAAAAACUAAUAUUUUAUCAUCCAUAAAGUUAUACGAGGAUUCGUUGUCUUUUCGGCUCUUUCGAAUGCAAGGAUAUGAUAUAAAUCCAAGUAGAAUUUCGAAAUCGUUACUUUAUUCACACAUUUUAUUGCUUGUACAUAGUGUACUGACUUAAAUUUUGUAUAUGUUUAGGGAACAUUAAUUGGUUUCUGAAGCAUGCAAAAAUUCUGAAGCAUAUGAGAAGAAAACUAUGGUCAAUUGAGGCUCGUGUUAGAAGUUGUACAAUUUUGUUUCUUGCCAUCACUCAUUCUUACUGCGAUGGUUAAAUAUUUUACUUCCAGUUUCUGCUUGAAAUAAUUAGGCGCUACUCAUCAAGCAAUUGUAGUUACUGUGAAUGAAGCACGUUGUUUGUACAUUUGGGUUUCAAAUAGAAAAUUAUUUUUUCUUUCUAAAUUCUAGGUUGAAUUUUCGAAAUCAAACAACUCAUAGAUGCAUAUGUGAAUAAGUAUGUUUUGCGACCUUCACAUGCAGCUUAUUUGAGAAGUGCAUUUUUUGUGCACUUAUUUAAUGCACAAACAUGAUUAAAUCACGAGAUAAAUAUUUAAAUUGUGGCUUAAAUUUGUUUAAUUGUUGGAUUGUAGGGUAUAAUGAAGGAUAUGGUGGAAUUCACGAGAAAAAGAAGCAAAGAGGACCAAAACAAAACAAAAUAAAAGUUCAGAGAACAACAUACAAAUAUCCAAAAGAUGAACCAAUGAAGCAAUAAAAGAUUCGAUCGAGCCAAGUACCAAUUGGAGGUUAACAUUAAUAGAUGGAAUGAAAAGAAGGAAGAAAUGAGGCCAAGAAUGUGGAAAAAAAAGUUUAAGGACCAAAAUCAACGUUCGGAAAAGGGGAACCUUUGCGGUUGCAUAGGUUAUACCUAUGUGAUCGCAUAGGAACCUCUCGAACACUAAAGGGCCAAUUUUUGUUAGCCUAUGCGUCCGUAUAAGUUAAGCCUAUGCAGUCGCAUAGGCAUAAAUCAGGGACCAAACCUGCAGUUUCCUAUUUUCGAUAUAAUUAUUUUGGAAUUCGAUUGUGACGCGAUAUAAAAACCUAGAGCCGUCAUAUUUCAGGGCAAAACGUAUUGGGAGGCAAGAAAACACAUCUUGGAGAGGAUUUUGAGCCAAGGUAACAAGGAUUUACACGAAAAUCUUCAAGAUUUCAAGCAAGUUCAUAACUCGGUGAUGCUUUUUCUUCAAUUUAUCAUGUAUUCAGUAAUUUUCUCCAUGAUAGGCUAGGUUUUCAUGCACUCGGAGAUUGAUGUACCAUAUGAUGUGAUUUCUUUAAUUUCUAGUUUUCAAUUUGACAAUAAACGCGUAUUGAAUGUUUGAAUGAUUUAUAUACAAUAAUUUUCAUCUAUAAUUAUGUGAUGUUUUGUUGUUUAUUUCAUCUGUUCGAGAGAAGAGAAAUAAAUUAGACACGGUAUAAAUUGUCGUAGGGACCGAUAGGGAUUAAAGAUACACCCAUAUGCUUUUCGUGAAUCUUUAGAUGCUCAUCAAACCAUAUGCAUUCUUAUAUAUGCAUUUUCAUGGAGAUAUAGGCCGGUGGUGUAUAAGGAUAUGUUCAAUACAUCUCUCGAGAGAGUGUUAAAUAGAUUUAGGAGCACUGAUUCGUCAGUAAUUCAAUCAUGUUGUCAUUUUGUGAAAUUAGGGUUAAGAUUGAUCAUUAUAUGAGAAUUCGUGAUCCUAGUGUUUUUAAUUUUCAUUGAAUACAAUCAAUUUGCGUUCUAAACAUUUAAUUUGCAUUUUAAUUCAUUAAAAUAUUGUUUUGCACAUUGAGUUCAUUCCAAUCAUCAAGUUUGAAUAAUUAAGGUUUUUAGAAAUCAGGGUUUUACUAAAUUAGGGUUUUUUCUAAGAAUAAAUUUUUGUUUUGAAGAAUUUGUUUCGGUUAAGGCCAAGAUAGUUAGAAUUAAACUACUCAAUCUCUGUGGGACGAUAUUUGAAACUUGACAUUCUAAUUUAUUACUUGUUAACGAACUGUACUCUUGCGGUAAUAUUAAGUCGAAAGAAAUAUUUCGUCAACAAGUUUUUGGCGUCGUUUCCGGGAAUUAAGUAUUCGUUUAAUUUUAUUUAUAUUGGUACUAAUUUGAACAUUCAACUUUGCAUUUUCGGUUAUUUUGUUGAGUUUUAUUUAAUUUUAUUCAAUUUCAUUUUUGAUUUGCAUGUUAAGGUCAGCUGAAGGAGAAUUGAUCCCAACUGAUCCAGAAAUCGAACGAACUCUACAUCGAAGACAGUGAGAAAACAGAAAGGCACAACAACAAAUGACUAACGUGCAGAAUAAUCCAAUUUUUAGGCCAAUGAAGAAGGGGCAGCGGAUGAAGGAAAUAUGCUCGUGGGAGAUUUCAU
RNAcentral lists this long non-coding RNA (4021 nucleotides) under Olea europaea (common olive). RNAcentral's name for it is "long non-coding RNA (OEUR_LNC013393)". Lineage: Eukaryota; Viridiplantae; Streptophyta; Magnoliopsida; Lamiales; Oleaceae. The record is from RNAcentral.